RNAcentral lists this ribosomal RNA (646 nucleotides) under Cryptosporidium parvum. RNAcentral describes it as "SSU rRNA". It matches the Rfam family "Eukaryotic small subunit ribosomal RNA", at positions 341 to 1015 of the family's 1831-position model. Lineage: Eukaryota; Apicomplexa; Conoidasida; Eucoccidiorida; Cryptosporidiidae. The record is from RNAcentral.
CUACCGUGGCAAUGACGGGUAACGGGGAAUUAGGGUUCGAUUCCGGAGAGGGAGCCUGAGAAACGGCUACCACAUCUAAGGAAGGCAGCAGGCGCGCAAAUUACCCAAUCCUAAUACAGGGAGGUAGUGACAAGAAAUAACAAUACAGGACUUUUUGGUUUUGUAAUUGGAAUGAGUUAAGUAUAAACCCCUUUACAAGUAUCAAUUGGAGGGCAAGUCUGGUGCCAGCAGCCGCGGUAAUUCCAGCUCCAAUAGCGUAUAUUAAAGUUGUUGCAGUUAAAAAGCUCGUAGUUGGAUUUCUGUUAAUAAUUUAUAUAAAAUAUUUUGAUGAAUAUUUAUAUAAUAUUAACAUAAUUCAUAUUACUAUAUAUUUUAGUAUAUGAAAUUUUACUUUGAGAAAAUUAGAGUGCUUAAAGCAGGCAUAUGCCUUGAAUACUCCAGCAUGGAAUAAUAUUAAAGAUUUUUAUCUUUCUUAUUGGUUCUAAGAUAAGAAUAAUGAUUAAUAGGGACAGUUGGGGGCAUUUGUAUUUAACAGUCAGAGGUGAAAUUCUUAGAUUUGUUAAAGACAAACUAAUGCGAAAGCAUUUGCCAAGGAUGUUUUCAUUAAUCAAGAACGAAAGUUAGGGGAUCGAAGACGAUCAGAUAC